This 592-nucleotide ribosomal RNA is filed under the name Lipomyces orientalis. RNAcentral's name for it is "eukaryotic LSU rRNA". It matches the Rfam family "Eukaryotic large subunit ribosomal RNA", at positions 38 to 648 of the family's 3401-position model. Lineage: Eukaryota; Fungi; Ascomycota; Lipomycetes; Lipomycetales; Lipomycetaceae. The record is from RNAcentral.
GCAUAUCAAUAAGCGGAGGAAAAGAAACCAACAGGGAUUGCCUUAGUAACUGCGAGUGAAGCGGCAAGAGCUCAAAUUUGAAAUCUGGCACCUUUGGUGUCCGAGUUGUAAUUUGUAGAAGCAUCUUUUGGAUUGGUCCUUGCAUAUGUUCCUUGGAACAGGACAUCAUAGAGGGUGAGAAUCCCGUUCAUGGUGGGGAAUCCAAUUCUUUGUAAAGUGCUUUCGAAGAGUCGAGUUGUUUGGGAAUGCAGCUCUAAGUGGGUGGUAAAUUCCAUCUAAAGCUAAAUAUUGGCGAGAGACCGAUAGCGAACAAGUACAGUGAUGGAAAGAUGAAAAGAACUCCGAAAGGAGAGUGAAAAAGGACGUGAAAUUGUUGAAAGGGAAGUGCUUGAGAUCAGUCUUAAGGUUUAGUGAUCAGUCUUCCUUUUGGUUGGUGCACUCACUAUUUCUUAGGCCAACAUCAGUUUUCGCGGUAGGAUAAUGACAUUGGAAUGUGGCUCUUUCGGGAGUGUUAUAGCCUUUGUUGAUACUACCUGCUUAGACUGAGGACUGCGUAUUUUGCUAGGAUGUUGGCAUAAUGAUCUUAAGCAGC